UACCGAGGUCCCAAGCGGUACUGAGAUUCACUGGGUUUAAAGGGUGCGUAGGUGGGGCGUUAAGUCAGUUGUGAAAUCCCCGGGCUCAACCCGGGAAUAGCUUCUGAUACUGGCGUGCUUGAGGUCGGUAUAGGUUACUGGAACGGACGGUGGAGCGGUGAAAUGCGUAGAUAUCGUCUGGAACGCCAGUGGUGAAGACGGGUAACUAGGCCGGUUCUGACACUGAGGCACGAAAGCGUGGGGAGCGAACGGG
This 253-nucleotide ribosomal RNA is filed under the name uncultured bacterium. Its description in RNAcentral is "partial 16S ribosomal RNA". It matches the Rfam family "Bacterial small subunit ribosomal RNA", at positions 524 to 776 of the family's 1533-position model. The record is from RNAcentral.